UAGGGAAUCUUCCGCAAUGGACGCAAGUCUGACGGAGCAACGCCGCGUGAGUGAAGAAGGAUUUCGGUUCGUAAAACUCUGUUGUUAGAGAAGAACAGCGCAUAGAGUAACUGUUAUGCGUGUGACGGUAUCUAACCAGAAAGCCACGGCUAACUACGUGCCAGCAGCCGCGGUAAUACGUAGGUGGCAAGCGUUGUCCGGAUUUAUUGGGCGUAAAGCGAGCGCAGGCGGUCAAUUAAGUCUGAUGUGAAAGCCCCCGGCUCAACCGGGGAGGGUCAUUGGAAACUGGUUGACUUGAGUGCAGAAGAGGAGAGUGGAAUUCCAUGUGUAGCGGUGAAAUGCGUAGAGAUUAGGAAGAACACCGGUGGCGAAGGCGACUUUCUGGACGAAAACUGACGCUGAGGCGCGAAAGCGUGGGGAGCAAACAGG
Molecule: ribosomal RNA, 429 nt
Filed under: Bacteroidota bacterium
Lineage: Bacteria; Pseudomonadati; Bacteroidota
Description: Bacteroidetes bacterium partial 16S ribosomal RNA
Rfam family: Bacterial small subunit ribosomal RNA
Source: RNAcentral